This 253-nucleotide ribosomal RNA is filed under the name uncultured bacterium. Its description in RNAcentral is "partial 16S ribosomal RNA". It matches the Rfam family "Bacterial small subunit ribosomal RNA", at positions 524 to 776 of the family's 1533-position model. The record is from RNAcentral.
UACGUAGGGUGCAAGCGUUGUCCGGAAUUAUUGGGCGUAAAGAGCUCGUAGGCGGUUUGUCGCGUCGAAUGUGAAAACCCGGGGCUCAACCCCGGGCCUGCAUUCGAUACGGGCAGACUAGAGUUCGGUAGGGGAGUCUGGAAUUCCUGGUGUAGCGGUGAAAUGCGUAGAUAUCAGGAGGAACACCGGUGGCGAAGGCGGGACUCUGGGCCGAUACUGACGCUGAGGUGCGAAAGCGUGGGGAGCAAACAGG